This 210-nucleotide ribosomal RNA is filed under the name Streptomyces showdoensis. RNAcentral's name for it is "partial 16S ribosomal RNA". It matches the Rfam family "Bacterial small subunit ribosomal RNA", at positions 1 to 211 of the family's 1533-position model. The record is from RNAcentral. Lineage: Bacteria; Bacillati; Actinomycetota; Actinomycetes; Kitasatosporales; Streptomycetaceae.
CAUUCACGGAGAGUUUGAUCCUGGCUCAGGACGAACGCUGGCGGCGUGCUUAACACAUGCAAGUCGAACGAUGAAGCCCUUCGGGGUGGAUUAGUGGCGAACGGGUGAGUAACACGUGGGCAAUCUGCCCUUCACUCUGGGACAAGCCCUGGAAACGGGGUCUAAUACCGGAUACGACCUGCCGAGGCAUCUCGGCGGGUGGAAAGCUCC